GUGGAGCUGAGAUUGUAGGAAAUUUGGAGUUAUAUUUUCCAGCCUCUCUGGCCAGCAGUCUCCACUACGUCUUGGGAAACAUAUAUCAAAUGGAGUUGAAGAGAAAAAGGGAGUGUGCAAACAACUGAACAACUAUUAGGCCAGCUUUCGGAGUUGGAGAGAACUGCAUGGAUCCCUGAACUGGAAGAACUGGGCUGUUGAACAGAGUGCGGACCAGCGUGGGUGCUCAGGACUAAGAAGGUACACUCUGCAAGGAGUCCUACAAAGAAAUACUAUACAGCAGAGAACAUGGAUGAACCACAGCUAGAGGAGCAAAUAUGGAUGCAUCUCAAAAUCAUGGUGUUGAAAAAAAGGAAUAGGUCACCAAAGAAGACAG
Long non-coding RNA from Zalophus californianus (California sea lion), 376 nucleotides. RefSeq lists it as uncharacterized. Lineage: Eukaryota; Metazoa; Chordata; Mammalia; Carnivora; Otariidae. The transcript has 3 exons. The record is from RefSeq and is a predicted model, not a curated record.